CCACUACGUGGAGAGUGAAUGACUGCUCAGCUUUUGGGAAGGGGAUACCAAAAGCACAGUGGUGAAAAAAUAGCUCCAUUACUUCUGAUUUGAAAGCUCCGUGUUAUUAACAUGUUGAUCUCUGAGGACUUCCAGGGCUGUCGCCAAUAAGCCACACCACCUGGUCCCACCAUCUUCCAAAGGUAGAUUAAUUUGCCACAUAGUGUGUUUUCCUCUUUAAUUAAU
Molecule: long non-coding RNA, 225 nt
Filed under: Ictidomys tridecemlineatus (thirteen-lined ground squirrel)
Lineage: Eukaryota; Metazoa; Chordata; Mammalia; Rodentia; Sciuridae
Description: lncRNA (ENSSTOG00000033013.1)
Source: RNAcentral